Long non-coding RNA from Bombus pascuorum, 2905 nucleotides. RefSeq lists it as uncharacterized. The record is from RefSeq and is a predicted model, not a curated record. The transcript is spliced from 3 exons. Lineage: Eukaryota; Metazoa; Arthropoda; Insecta; Hymenoptera; Apidae.
CUUUAUACAAGUGAUUCAUUAUGGUUUAUCAAAAGAUUCCUUUUUGAUAUUAGGUUCCAUGUAGCGUUGUGAGAAAAUUUAGAAAUAGGUUGUCGUUCUGUUAACCGAUGAUGUUACGAGAUAGAAAGAAAUUGUAUCAAGUAGCAUUAAAUUGUUUCAAAUAUUCGAUACACGAACUGAUGAACGUAUCCGCUCCGGAAAUGGAGGCGUUUCAAACAUUACUCCCUGCUUCUUUAAAUCGAACUAUAUAUUCUUUGAUGCAAACUACUUGCGACGUAUACAAAUGAAAAAGUAUCGAAACUGAAGCGAGUAACAGACGUUUUGCACUGAUAAUCAGAAACUAUUAUAUGCAGCAACGUACGGUAACUCGGUUACGUUGAUUUCUAAUUAACUUAUCUUUGACGAUGAUAUGGAUUACUCGUAAUAUAUGUACACAAGAUAUAAAAACUAUUUAAAAGCUUAACGAGCAGUAAAUUCGCGUUGUCAGCACAACCGAGUUGUCACGUACGCUAGCGUAUAGAAAUUUCAAUCAACCACGUGUCCAUUUCACAAACUGCUAAAACUUCAAAGAGUAAGAAAUAUUUUAGACUACUCAUCAGAGAAUAACUAUGCUGACGAAUUACCAUGUAAUAUACGCUAUAAUGUACGAAAGUCUAAUUAUUUACACGUGUUGUUGUUACCACGUUAAUCAAAUGCCACAAUGCGAGCUAUUGAAACAUGGAAAGAUAAUGAGAAACGUUUAAAGAUACGAUAAGUAAUAGACUUGCUACCCUGACGCACAGCAACUAUUGUAUACGCUAGUAUAGAAGAACUCGGUCAUUCAUACUCAGGGAUCGUUAUCAUGCUAGCGCGUCAGUGUUUCACAAUACGAUCCGAUGAGGCGUGUACGGACAAAGAGGAACGUUUAAAAACACGGCAAAAUGCACUGUAUCGGGUUCACCGAUAGAAUUAUUCAUGCUGGGUUGUUACGUUGAAACGAACGUUUCUUCUAAUUGCUAUAAAUUAUUCGACGUAACGAAGCUUCGUGAUUUCAACGAUGAUCUUUGGUGCUUUAAUAAUACAUCGAUAAAAUAAAUAAUUCAGCUAGAUUCUCAUCGCAGAAGAAGAAGAAAUAAAACGUUUCGAGGAAGUUAAAAGGCAUAAAAUCCCGUUUCCGUUAAAAUUAUACUUCUUUCGUGUAUUGUUCCACUUCCUGGCGAAUUACCAUGCGGUUUAUUAACAAACUUGGCCACCGUAGUUUAAGGAUUCUUGGUAGAAUCUCGAGGGUAGAAUAAAAACGUACGUUGCGAUGAACUCGAAGAAGAUGAUCGUCGAUACUGUGAUAAAUAAUUCAACAACCGCGCAGGAUUUCCGUCGAAGAAAUUUAGAAUCAUUUCGACGAAGCUAAGGACCGUAAAGCUUUACAGAAAUCAUAAUUCCUUUCCACGUUUACGCGAAAGAGUAAUAAACCAUUUAUUGGUGAAACUUUCGAGUGAUUGCGUUUUAUUACGAGUUAACGCGGCAUUGUGUGUUUAACUACUUCGUCUAAACAAUCUUUCGUAUUUCAGAAAAUAACUAAGUGUAUCGUAACGAGAACUUUUGUUGAAAAAACAGAUCUUAAGAAAUUUUGAAAGUCAAGAUGCGUAUCCUUUCAAUUUUACCGAAGAGCUUCAGGAUUUUUAAUUAUAUAGCACUUCCAUGUAAAUUAUCUAUUCUUGAAAAUCAUAUUAAAUUGAUUACUCGUAAAUGAUACUAUCGUAACAUACUACGAUUCUGAAGCAGCAGAAUAAAAUGAUUUCACCGGAAGAAGAUGAAAACAAUUUCUAAGAACAAAGUAUAACAAUCCAAUCUGGGAAAAACAAAAAUCAUCGUUCUAUGUAAAUAGCAUAGUGCUUGCCAAUAAAUUUCUCUUCUAAGUAUAAUGUUCGAGACUAUAAAUUAUCACGGUCUCCAUUAGGAAAACGAGAAGUCAUCCCGAAGAAAUUCGGAAACAGUAAAUCCUGCGAUCACUGCGGCAUCUUCGAGAAAACCGAUUAUCUUUGGAAUAACUGAGCGUAUUUCAUUUACUCAUUCUCACAUGACAAUUGUUCUUAUCUCAAAUGAGUAAUCAAUUAAAGAUUUCCAAAGAUACACUUCCAGUAAAAAAAAAAAAAAAACGAAUUUAUUUAUCAAAUGGCUCACAUUAAGACAAUGACUAAGAAUAACGAAAUUGCGUUUGAUGUUUUAUUUUUGAGAAAAUUGGCUUCCGAAACUUGUACACAUAUACAUAUUUGACUAAUUUCCGACCGAACGAAUAUAUUUUUCUUAUAUACUUUUUAAUAAAGCGUUUGCAUUCCCUUAUUCCUGCAUAUAAAAUAUGCCGUACAGUUGUCUAGAAAGAAAGCCUGAAAUACUCUGUAUAUGUAUUUCUUGGCAAAGAUCGAAACUGCACGUAAAUAAUGAAAUAUUCAUUAAACCAAGAAACUGUUCUUCCACGGCCAGUUAUAUCACUAAUUAUUAUACACAGCGUUACGUAUUUAAUUAAUUUAACGCGAGGAUAACGCGCAUCUCAUUAACGCUCACGGCAUCGAAAGUUAUGCACGACGUUGCACUUCUCUCUGAUAAGUUGCACGCUCAUUCUGAAUUUCAUAACUCGCGUAAGCUCGGGCACGGAUUAAUCGCAGCUCGACAUUCGCCGAACCCGCCACGAUCCAUGGAUUACUUAUCGCGAUCGCUCGAUCAGUACGGAACAUGUACAGUACAUGAGUAGAAACACGUUCCGAACGAUUUCGAACUGUUUCAAGGUGAUAUCACAUUUGCCCUAUAUUCGAAUUUCUGGGUUAACAGGUACUCAUAGGAUCGUUACCAAUUCGUCGUAUCUUGGCACGAUUGUCGUGAAUUAAGUGUAUCAGCAAACGAUGUCGAGAUCGUGUUUCCUUUUUAACCU